CCUACGGGAGACAGCAGUGGGGAAUAUUGGACAAUGGGGGGAACCCUGAUCCAGCCAUGCCGCGUGUGUGAAGAAGGCCCUCGGGUUGUAAAGCACUUUCAGUGAGGAAGAACGCCUGGUGGUUAAUACCCAUCAGGAAAGACAUCACUCACAGAAGAAGCACCGGCUAACUCCGUGCCAGCAGCCGCGGUAAUACGGAGGGUGCGAGCGUUAAUCGGAAUUACUGGGCGUAAAGCGCGCGUAGGUGGCUUGAUAAGCCGGUUGUGAAAGCCCCGGGCUCAACCUGGGAACGGCAUCCGGAACUGUCAAGCUAGAGUGCAGGAGAGGAAGGUAGAAUUCCCGGUGUAGCGGUGAAAUGCGUAGAGAUCGGGAGGAAUACCAGUGGCGAAGGCGGCCUUCUGGACUGACACUGACACUGAGGUGCGAAAGCGUGGGUAGCAAACAGGAUUAGAUACCCCGGUAGUC
Molecule: ribosomal RNA, 465 nt
Filed under: Vreelandella stevensii
Lineage: Bacteria; Pseudomonadati; Pseudomonadota; Gammaproteobacteria; Oceanospirillales; Halomonadaceae
Description: partial 16S ribosomal RNA
Rfam family: Bacterial small subunit ribosomal RNA
Source: RNAcentral